ACGCUCAUCAACUAUCAGCGCCAAAAUGGCGAAAAUCAAGUUGUUUCAAAAGCAGGUCGGCAAUUGCAAGUCCAGCAUACUUGUAUGUAGUAGAUCAGUGGUUUCUUUCCACACCUUUUAUUCACAGCAUCCCGUCCGCGCGUCCAGGGCGCUUACUACAUAAGUUCCAUAAGCGAAAGCUCAAUAACUUGAACAUUCAGAUUCAUUCAAUUUAGGCAUUCCAAACAUCUACCAACUACCCACCGAGAAUUUGAAAAUUAUUACCAUUAGUCUUCAACCUUUUUUUUCUCAGACAACACCGCCAUUUUACACUCAAUAUUACGUAUUUAUUUAUUUACCAUAUUUAUAGUCUAUAAUAAUAUUAUUAUUAUUUGUUACCUUGAAAAAUUAAUUCGUUUUUGUACAUUUUAUCAAAUUAUUAUUAAAAUAAAAAUUACAGCACCUAGAUUCUAUCGAUUAUAAAUGAAUAAAUGCUCCUAUAUGCAGUUACUUAUAACGCUCUUUACAUAAAAUCCUACUUUCAACUUCUUUAACUCGUAAAGAAGUAAAAAGAAAUAGGAAUUGUGCUGUCACUUUGAAUCAUUUUUAUUACUUUUUUGAAUAAAAAGUAGGUAAUUUCAUAUCAAUUUGGAAAAAAGCGGCUACGGGGGUAGGGACCAGGUCCCAGCCGGAAAAUUGAUAUAACAGCAUGGAUAAUUUUAUUGAGAAAUUGCAUGUUCUACUAAUAUGAGUUAUUUGGCUUUAUCUAUAGAAAUAAAAGGGGAAACUGACUGACUGGUCAAAUCGCUGGGUCUAGAAACUUGAGAUUUUACAUUUAGACCCUCACUGAGAAAUGAUUUGAGGAUAGUAAGAAAAAAAAAUUCGUUUUGGAUACUAUUUUUUUUAAAUGUAUUGAAAAACAUGUGUAUGUAAAAUGUGAAAGUAAUUAUGAACUAUAACAGAUUAACGUAUAAAAAAAAUACACUAUUACUUUCUAAUAUGUAACGAUUAAUAUUAUUUUACUCGUAAUUUAUGUCAAGAAAAAAAUAAAAAGAUUCUGACUACAAGUAUUGGUGUUACCAUAUUAUCAUAACUAAUUAAUAUUCUACUAAUUCAUAAUAUUUUUUUAAAUCUAAAUUACAUAAUGAAGAGACUACGCGAUUUUGUGAUCGUAAUAAUUCGUUACUAGAUUUGAUAUUACGCUAACUAAAAAUUGUAGAAAAAUAACGCCUUUUUUUGCAACGAUUACGUUAUUACGAUGAACAUAUUAUUUUAGCCCCAAAGUUAUGCAAGUUUUGCCACAAAAUAUUUUUCAAAGUCAAAAUCUUUUAUUCAAAGAAGUUACAAUUUGAAAAAUAAAUUUGAAAAUACAUUUCAUUUAUAGCCAUUUCUUUUACGAAAUGGACAUUACAUUACAAGAUUUAAAUCGCGUAGUUUCUUACAUAUUUCUAUUACGUAAAUCACUUUCUGCAGUUUCUUUUUUUUUUUCAGAAAUAGGCACCUGCACGUAAUGUGGACUAGUUAAAUAAGAUUAUAAAGAAUUUUAGACUACAUUUAGUUAAAAAAAUCUAAGUUAGUUAACUUUGUUCGAUUUGAGAUCAGGAAAAUUUGCACCCAACUGACCGUGCGUAUGAUAUGAAAAAUGCAAUCAGGAUUUUAAAAAAAGAGAGAAAAUUGUACUAUUUUAAACAAAUGCAAAUUUGAAAUGUUUAUUUAAAUUUAAUAAGUAUAAAUAAUACUGUUAACUUAUUUAAAUUUUGUAACAUAAUUCUAAA
Long non-coding RNA from Maniola jurtina (meadow brown), 1754 nucleotides. RefSeq lists it as uncharacterized. Lineage: Eukaryota; Metazoa; Arthropoda; Insecta; Lepidoptera; Nymphalidae. The record is from RefSeq and is a predicted model, not a curated record. The transcript has 2 exons.